AUAUCAAUGAACCACAUGAUUGAUCAGUUCAUAUUACAAGUUCAACGUCAUUGUGUUGAAUAGUAGAAGCAUCUUAGGCACAUUUAUCUCAAUUAUAACCUAUUCUGUUAAACAGUAUUUUUUGUUGAACACGUAAUAGAAUAGGGUUAUCAUGUACAAAUAUCAUACUUUUUCUACGCACCAAACAAGAAUAAAAGUGCAUGUGCCUUGGUAAACAUCUUCAUCAAAUAGAGUAACUUUUAUUGGACAUCUUGAAAGCAUUAUAACUAAUGAAAAAAGAAGUUAUGAUCAACAGAUACAUUUCAAGUUCAGUGCUUUCUCUCACUGUUGAUCUUGACAUUUUACAGGGACAUUAUAUUUUGAUGAGGGGACCAAGGGAUUAGAAUAGUACCACUCGACCAAAUCCCUUUGCAAUUAUGGAAAAGUAUUGAAGUAGUUAUUUACGUAGGUUCAAGAUAGAGGUUGACAGUCUUAGAAAACAUGCCUUGGCAGUAUUGAAGGCUACGUUCUUGCAGUCAGGGAAGAUGCUGAUCGAACUCGGAGGUAAUCCAUAUGUUACAUUUUGAAACACAACCAAUGUGUCCGUUUUGCUGUCAUUGUUCAUCAGGAAGGCUGCACAUCCUCCCGAUUUUGUUUGAAAGACAACAGCCGGGAUUUUAAAUAAUUGACCGAUGUCAUACAUUAUAGUUUAAACCAUGUUUAAUCUUGAGAAAGGAAGAUCACUGGUGAAGAAGAUGACGACGAUCGAGUUCCAUUUUAGAGCUAUUUUUAAUCGUGAAAGGAAGUCAAUGGUAAAGAAAACAAAGUCGAGUUACAAUUUAUUAUGCUCUUACCUCUUGUUGUUCACCCAAACAUGAUGAAGUUGGUGUUCCCCGAAGUAAAGGCUCUGAACAUAGUUUUAUUGCAGCAUGUAAAUCUUUCAGAUGACCCCACUUUGGUUGCUGAAUUAAGCCUAAAUUUAUCAAUUUUUGGGAUC
This is a long non-coding RNA of Rhododendron vialii, 976 nucleotides long. RefSeq lists it as uncharacterized. Lineage: Eukaryota; Viridiplantae; Streptophyta; Magnoliopsida; Ericales; Ericaceae. The transcript is spliced from 2 exons. The record is from RefSeq and is a predicted model, not a curated record.